RNAcentral lists this ribosomal RNA (331 nucleotides) under uncultured bacterium. Its description in RNAcentral is "bacterial SSU rRNA". It matches the Rfam family "Bacterial small subunit ribosomal RNA", at positions 46 to 365 of the family's 1533-position model. The record is from RNAcentral.
GCUUAACACAUGCAAGUCGAACGGUAACAGCCCUUCGGGGCGCUGACGAGUGGCGGACGGGUGAGUAAUACGUAGGAAUCUGCCCAGUAGUGGGGGACAACCCGGGGAAACUCGGGCUAAUACCGCAUACGCCCUACGGGGGAAAGCGGGGUGAUACUUCGGACCUCGUCGUCUAUUGGAUAGAGCCUACGUCGGAUNUAGUCUUGUUUGGUAGGGUAACGGUCCUACCAAGGCGACGAUACCGUAGCUGGUCUAGACGAGGACGAUCAGCCACACUAGGGACUAGAGACACGGCCCAGGACUCCUACGGGAGGCAGCAGUNGGGGAAUAU